RNAcentral lists this ribosomal RNA (571 nucleotides) under Xylodon nesporii. Its description in RNAcentral is "partial 28S ribosomal RNA". It matches the Rfam family "Eukaryotic large subunit ribosomal RNA", at positions 94 to 654 of the family's 3401-position model. The record is from RNAcentral. Lineage: Eukaryota; Fungi; Basidiomycota; Agaricomycetes; Hymenochaetales; Schizoporaceae.
UGAAGCGGGAAAAGCUCAAAUUUAAAAUCUGGCGCAAGCCCGAGUUGUAAUCUGGAGAAGCAUUUUCUGUGUCGGACCGUGUACAAGUCUCUUGGAACAGAGCGUCAUAGAGGGUGAGAAUCCCGUCCAUGACACGGACUACCGAUGCUUUGUGAUAUGCUCUCGAAGAGUCGAGUUGUUUGGGAAUGCAGCUCAAAAUGGGUGGUAAAUUCCAUCUAAAGCUAAAUAUUGGCGAGAGACCGAUAGCGAACAAGUACCGUGAGGGAAAGAUGAAAAGCACUUUGGAAAGAGAGUUAAACAGUACGUGAAAUUGUUGAAAGGGAAACGCUUGAAGUCAGUCGCGUUGUCUGGAACUUAGCCUUGCUUGCAUGGUGUACUUUCCAGUUAACGGGUCAACAUCAAUUUUGGUUGGUGGAUAAAGGUAGAGGGAAUGUGGCAUCUUCGGAUGUGUUAUAGCCCUUUGCUGCAUACACUGACUGGGAUUGAGGUCUGCAGCACGCCGUCAUGGCCGGGGGUUCGCCCUACGUAACGUGCUUAGGAUGUUGGCAUAAUGGCUUUAAUCGACCCGUCU